GAGACAAGGGCCCAGNNCCUACGGGGCGCAGCAGUCGNGCAAACUUUGCAAUACACGAAAGUGUGACAGGGYUAUCCCGAGUGCCGNCCGCUGAGGAUGGCUUUUACCCAGUCUAGAAAGCUGGGGGAAUAAGGAGAGGGCAAGUCUGGUGUCAGCCGCCGCGGUAAUACCAGCUCUCCGAGUGGUGUGGAUGUUUAUUGGGCCUAAAGCAUCCGUAGCUGGCUGAGCAAGUCCCCUGUUAAAUCCACCGAAUUAAUCGUUGGANUGCGGGGGAUACUGCUCGKCUAGGGGACGAGAGAGGCAGACGGUAUUCUCGGGGUAGGGGUGAAAUCCUAUAAUCCCGGGAAGACCACCAGUGGCGAAGGCUGUCUGYUAGAACGCGCCCGACGGUGAGGGAUGAAAGCUGGGGGAGCGAACCGGAUUAGAUACCCGGGUAGUCCCAKCCUGUAAACUAUGCAGGCUAGGUGUUUGAAUCGGCCACCGUGCCGCUCUAGUGCCGCAGGGAAGCUGUUAAGCCUGCCGCCUGGGGAGUACGAUCGCAAGAUUGAAACUUAAAGGAAUUGGC
This 565-nucleotide ribosomal RNA is filed under the name uncultured crenarchaeote. RNAcentral's name for it is "bacterial SSU rRNA". It matches the Rfam family "Archaeal small subunit ribosomal RNA", at positions 305 to 869 of the family's 1478-position model. Lineage: Archaea; Thermoproteati; Thermoproteota. The record is from RNAcentral.